GCUAGGUGCAGUGGCUCACACCUGUAAUCCCAAUAACUUGAGAGGCUGAGGCAGGAGAAUUGCAAGUUUUAGGCCAGCCUGGGCAAUUUAGUGAGACCCUGCCUCAA
Molecule: small RNA, 107 nt
Filed under: Marmota monax (woodchuck)
Lineage: Eukaryota; Metazoa; Chordata; Mammalia; Rodentia; Sciuridae
Source: RNAcentral